RNAcentral lists this ribosomal RNA (393 nucleotides) under uncultured bacterium. Its description in RNAcentral is "partial 16S ribosomal RNA". It matches the Rfam family "Bacterial small subunit ribosomal RNA", at positions 523 to 918 of the family's 1533-position model. The record is from RNAcentral.
AUACGGAGGAUGCAAGCGUUAUCCGGAUUUAUUGGGUUUAAAGGGUGCGUAGGCGGUUUGCUAAGCGGGAGGUGAAAUGCCGGCGCUCAACGUCGGAAGUGCCUCCCGAACUGGUGGACUGGAAUGACUCUGCCGUGGGAGGAAUGUGUAGUGUAGCGGUGAAAUGCUUAGAGAUUACACAGAACACCGAUUGCGAAGGCAUCUCACGAAGGGUUGAUUGACGCUGAGGCACGAAAGCGUGGGGAUCAAACAGGAUUAGAUACCCUGGCAGUCCACGCAGUAAACGAUGAUGGCUAACCGCUGGUUUUUUCGGAUCAGUGGCCAAGCGAAAGCGAUAAGCCAUCCACCUGGGGAGUACGACCGCAAGGUUGAAACUCAAAUGAAUUGACGGGG